CUUUUCUGGUAGAAUGCCUGGUAAUCCGUAAGCCAUUCCACUGUGUUCAUCAGCCCACUCAACAGGGGUAUGUCUGCAUCGCCCUCAGGCACAGGUGGCGUGGCAGAGAGCCCACUUGAUGCAGCUUGGCACACGGCUGGCCUGUCACAGCAACAAACAUACGAAUGCUUGGUGACGAGCCUACGAAGAUGAGCUUUUUCAUUCGAAACUUUCGAAACCGAGCAAUCAAGCCACUAGAUACACUCCAGAGGCCCACUUACCUGGUGCGUCUAGGCUUGUUGGACCCGUGGACAGGUCUUGAAGAAGAUCUCAAAGUGCAAUCUUGGCUGCGUUGGUGCAGCUUGUGCAGGGAUAUAAGCUGAUUACUGGCCAGUGCUUGAAGUAAGCUAGCCAUCUGGAAGGACCUGCGAAGACCAAGAAGAGGAUCCGUCACGCAUCGUCCAGGAGAAUUGAACUUCGCAUCCAAAAACUCGCAUGUAUGCUCUAUGUAGCUCAGUGGUCCUCGAUUUAAUCGGCAAGGAAGAGCAGAUCAGUACAAAGGUGCUGAUGUAGAAGUCAAAGUUGUUUCGAUGUAGCCAUGUGCGCUGACCGAGUAACGGAUACAGCAUGAUACCGCAGACUUCAAAUAAACCACAAUUUGCAUAAUACAUUAACAAGGCAACGGACACCCAGCGUGCGUACCGAUGUGCCUGGACUGGAGCGUACUUCGUCCUGUUCUGGCGACGCCUCUAUGGCAAGGUUGACAGUGCGAAUGCUGGUCUACUAAACAGAGUUCUGAAGUCUGUCCCUUUUCCUACGUGAGAUCGACGUGUGGAAGCGUCGAGAGCGUCGAGAGUCUCUCCUUGCGGUUAUGCGAGGUUAACGCGACGUUUGAGCC
This 877-nucleotide long non-coding RNA is filed under the name Coccomyxa subellipsoidea. Its description in RNAcentral is "long non-coding RNA (CSUB_LNC000484)". Lineage: Eukaryota; Viridiplantae; Chlorophyta; Trebouxiophyceae; Coccomyxaceae. The record is from RNAcentral.